AGAGGUUGCUGUGGUGCAGGCUGGCAGGGCAGGAGCUGACCUUUCCGGAAUGGAAUGCUGCCUGAGCAGUCAGCUCCAGAAGGGAAGGGGGCGUUGGGCCACUUCCCUCACCCUCUCCAGUCCUCAGCUCCCCUGAGACAGGUCUCGGAGCCCUGGCCUCUCUUGUGGGGAAGGGGGCAGGUGAGGCUGGCUGACUGUGUGGACACUUGCCUGAUCACUUCAAGUCAAGCCACCUGGGCCAGGCUGAUUCCAACCUGACUAGGGAUAAGCUUCACAACAAAUCUACGAAGCAGACAGACGCUGUUUACCUCCUGGAGGCUAUCCAAGACCACACAGCUGGAACCAGGGUUUGCUCUACAGACCAUGGUCUCAGCGACGAUCACUGCUGCCUCCUGGGCAGGGACCACCCGAGGAACUGAGGUGGGUAGGCAGGCUAAACAGAAUUUCAUGGUAUUGGCGUAGAAGGGAUCUGCGGGGUCACUCAGUCUAACAUCUUUAUUUACAGAUGAAGGAAACUCCAGAGAGGGACGUGACUUGCCCCAGGUCCCACACAGCACAGGGCUGACCAGAACUGGGGGGACUUGGGCACAACAGGGAGCCCCAGGCCAGAUCCUGGCUACCCCACAUCAGUUCAGAGGCGCUUGAGGGCAAGGACCCCAUUUCACCCUUUAUUCCCUCCUUCUGCCCCACUGUGCCGACCACAGGGUGGAGCACAGAGUAGGUGCUCAAAAUAUCUUUGGCGAUGGACCCACCUCUCAUCCCUCUGCAGCUGCAGCCCCCGGCCACUUAGGCCUCUGUUCAUGUAGCCAGCAUUUAGUAAGUGCCAACUGCAUUCUUGGCGCACUACCGG
RNAcentral lists this long non-coding RNA (850 nucleotides) under Homo sapiens (human). RNAcentral describes it as "HSALNT0189132". The record is from RNAcentral. Lineage: Eukaryota; Metazoa; Chordata; Mammalia; Primates; Hominidae.